RNA transcript from Neopsephotus bourkii (Bourke's parrot), 5004 nucleotides. It is a transcript of the gene named mitogen-activated protein kinase kinase kinase 19, with no coding region annotated. NCBI's taxonomy places the organism in Eukaryota, Metazoa, Chordata, Aves, Psittaciformes, Psittacidae. The record is from RefSeq and is a predicted model, not a curated record. The transcript has 9 exons.
CUUAGCAACAUCGUGUAAACUCAACAGCCCCGUGUAGCAGGAGAUACCCGGAGGAUGUGCCUGCUGAAGCGCCGGCUUCCUUAAUAAGGACUACGUGCUCUGGAGUCAGAAAAACGUGCCGAAAACAAAAUCAAGCUAUGUGUCAUGACUGUCUGAAUUCCUUGCUGUCGAGCAAAGGAAGACAGCUGUGAGCUAAAAAUUAUCUGUAACUUCUCUUUUCUUUGCUGUGCCUCUUCCACACUUCACUACUGAAGCACCAGAUUGUGGAAGUGUUGCUCUUGAGAAUGCAGAGAAGAUAAAAGAAAUGCAUCAGUCAUACAAAGCUCUAGGAAAAAACAGCCAAACAUCACCAACAUCCAGUCCACGGCCAGAUCAACAAGUGGCAUGUUUUCCAAGUAAAAAAAAACAGUUAGCCUUACAGAUGAGACAUCACACUUCUUUACCUUUCUCCCUGAAGAAAAAGAAUGUAGGGCAUGGCUUUGACUUCAGCUUUCUGCAACAUGCCGCCUCAUGCCCAGAAUCUAAUGUUUCAAAAUCAUUUAUGGGUUUAAAUGCUUUCCAGAUAAUAAAACCACGAAUACAACAAAGGUUAAAUAUAGCAAUGCUAAAACCCAGGAACAACAACUCUAAGUUUCAUUUGCCACCAGUGAUGUGUCAGCCUGUAAGAACAAUUCAUCCUGCUCCUCCAGAGGAUACCAUUGUCAAUGGAAGGUCCCACAUCAGAAAUAUUUUGAAUAUCAUGAACCCUAUUCCUUGGCCUAUAAAAACAAUUACUAAAUUUUAUCAUUAUCAGUUAGACAAUCUAUUAAAAAGGCACACUGACAAGUCAUUGGACCCGAUUGUGGCUACUGUUUCUGAUGCGUUCACUCCGGUGAAAGACCUGCACUACUUCAGCAUGGGCAACUAUAACAAGUACCCUACCAACAAGAAAGAAGAAAUUCAAAGCAAUUUAAAAUGGAGGGAAGCUGGCGUAGCAACCCAUACUGAAAAGAAUGACAAGAUGAAGUACCAGCUUUUGGUGGCUUGUAAGAACAUAGAUCUUAUGACCCAAGACAGUUUCUAUGAUGAUAGUCAUCCCUACUUGAGCUCAAAUAAUGCUCUGAUAAACUGUGGAAUAUUUACAGCUCAGACAACAUUUGCAAUGUCAAGCAACAGAGAUGCCUCGAGAGCUGGCAGUGAGGAACGAAGAACAGAGAGUUGCUGUAGAUCUGAUCCAGAAGAAGGAAAUGCUACAGAGGUGAUAGUGAAUUACAGACGACAUGAAGAUCGCGAGAGUGCAAACUUUGUGCUUGACAAUCAUGAUUUAGAUUUUUCCUGUAAAAAUGAAGUGAUAGAGGCCUAUCAUGCCUUAGAAGAUAAUUCUGUAGUUGCAGGAAUUCCCAGAGUAGAAGUGCAAGUUCCUUCUGGAAAACAGACAGAAAAUCAUGUUUGUCUCUCUGAAUUUGAAAUGGAAAAAGAAGCAUUGUCAGAAGCAACUUCAAAAGACCAAAGUGAGCUUGUACCUGUUGUUCAUGUUACAUUCUCUGAACAAGACUCAGCUAGAGAGCCACACAUUGUUAAACAACCUCCCACAAAAAAGAGUGUAAUUCGUAGCCUGCCUCCUCAUGUUACUCAGAGCUUCAACAUUCUUGCUCGCAAAGAAAACGGCAAAAGUAAAAGGAAGAUGAAUAAACCCAAAUAUUCAUCAAAAUCUAAAAUGAGUAGCAAGAUAAAGAUUUCCGAAGACCUAAUUGUUUCUGAUGAGAUUUCCACAAAAUGUAAUGCCAAGAGUCACAUUUUUCCAUCUUUGGAAUUGCCACACAUGGAAUCUGAGACUUCCCCAAAGCAUCAAAAAAACCCCCCUCAUGCUGACACAGACCGUUUUGCUCAGAGUGCUCAAAAACUUAAAAAGCACGGUUUCCCCUGCAGUUGCAAAAAUUCAGUUAUCUUAAAGAAACCUGUUACUCCCCUUUCCCUGCCACAUGCACAAUCUGCUUCAGCUUUUGUAGAUCUGAAAUACAGUGACAUGUUCAAGAAAAUAAAUUCAAAUGACAAAGGCCCAGGUAUUUAUGAAAUGUUUGGAACUCCUGUCUAUGACCACAUGCGUGAGCUUGAUCAGCAUGAGAACAGAUUUUACAGAGAUGUUUGUUCUGCUCCAACUGGGAGAUGCACUGCUAGCAUCUGCAGAUCUACCUGCGGGAAAGGGAGAGAGGGCAGCCGAGUAAGAAAUACUCAAAAGAGAACAUGUUCUAAGCCAAAGAAGACCAUACCUGGCACAAAACAAAAGCAGAAGAGUUUAAUUACAAAGGACAGAAGUACCAAGUUGAGUGACAGCAACACAGAACAAGGUAAUGUAAUAAGUUCUGAUUCAGAUGUUCAGAUAAACACUUCAAGGAGCAUGAUAUUGCUCCGUGAAGACACAGAUCAUCAGCUUAUAUUUUUAGAAGAGCUUUCCCAGUCAACUAAGCAAAAUAUUUUUUUUUCAAAUUCAAACUUAUCAACUAUUAAAGAAGUUUCUUUGGAGCAGCCUCUAGACAGCCAGGAUAUACCCAGCCAACAGAGACCUGCUGCCUGUAGCCAGAAUCUUCUGCAGUUUAGUGAUAAAGACUACAAAGACUGUGUUCCUCUAACUAGCAGUCCACUAACAACAGACAAGAACAUUUGUGUGCUGCAGCAAAGUGUGGAUAUGAAUGGCUGCGAAGGCCUGGAAUCAGACCAGGCCUCCUUCAAGUCUAUAAAUGAAAGCGAAGCAUUGCCCUUUUUGUACAGGCUGCAGCAUCAGUCCCCUCCAAUACAGGUAAAUCAGAGUUGGUCAUACAGACCUCAAAAUUGUGGUUCAGCAGAUGAACUGACUCAGCCUUCAGUGAUUCAGACAAAAAAUGUUACAAGUCCCAGUUUCCAGACAAGUCAAAGCAUUUUGUCCUGGGCAGAUAAUGAGGAUAUGACUGAUGAGUUGCUUUGUUGUCUGGCUGAAGAAUUGCUAAUGCUUGAAGGAAAAGACAUCAACUGUUCAAGAACAAAAAACACAAGUUCUAAAAUGCAAAAUGUGCAUACUAAAGAAGAAGAAAAUACGAUGAAUGGAGAUGGAGCAAUAGUAAAUAGUGUUCUAGAGAAGCAGAGUUACAGUAAAGCCUUUUGGACAUCAAACGAAGAAAAUGGUCUACUAAGCUUUGAGGAACCUACUAAAUUACGAGGAAGCAGUUUAGUUAACAAAGAUCCUAUCAUGUGGACAAGAGGUGAAGUCCUUGGAAAGGGAGCCUAUGGCACGGUAUACUGUGGCCUGACAAGCCAGGGACAGCUAAUAGCUGUAAAACAGCUUGUUUUGGGUACGUCAGAUCAAGUCACAACAGAAAAGGAGUAUCAGAAGUUUCAUGAGGAAGUUGACCUUUUGAAGACAUUGAAGCAUAUCAAUAUUGUAACUUAUUUGGGAACUUGUCUGGAAGACAACAUUUUAAGCAUUUUCAUGGAGUUUGUUCCUGGUGGCUCGAUUUCUAGUAUUAUUCAUCGUUUUGGUCCAUUGCCAGAAAUUGUUCUUCGUAAAUAUACAAAGCAAAUUCUACAAGGAGUUGCAUACUUACAUGACAAUUGUGUGGUACACAGAGAUAUCAAAGGCAAUAAUGUUAUGCUUAUGCCAAAUGGCAUAGUAAAGCUAAUUGACUUUGGCUGUGCCCGGAGGUUAGCUUGGGUAAGCCUCAGUGGCACACAGAGCGAGAUGCUCAAGUCUGUGCAUGGGACUCCAUACUGGAUGGCACCAGAGGUUAUAAAUGAAUCUGGAUAUGGAAGAAAAUCAGACAUAUGGAGCAUCGGCUGUACUGUGUUUGAGAUGGCAACAGGAAAACCGCCACUGGCUUCCAUGGACAGGAUAGCAGCCAUGUUCUAUAUUGGGGCCCACAGAGGACUGAUGCCUUCCCUACCUGAUCGAUUCUCUGUCACUGCAGUGGAUUUUGUGCAUGCAUGCUUAACCAGAGAUCAGGACGAACGCCCCUCUGCUCUGCAGUUGCUGGAUCACCCCUUUGUGAAAGGAAGACAGUGAAUUUUUCAAGUCUCUUGCCAAAUGAGUAUGCAUUUUCCAUAUAAAACUAUCCACUUGGGAAAAAAGAUAAGAAGGAGCUGGACUUCCAAGUGACAACAGAAUUUACUAGAGAGCAAUUGUGCACAAGGAGUCCAUUAUUAGACAACAGAAUGACUAAAGUAAUGUUUUUUGCACUGUCUGUGCUCAUUGGAGUGGGUAUUCCUUUCCUGUGAACACGUUUGUUGUAUUUGGAGAGACUUCAAGAGAAAAAAACCACGCAUCACCAUGACCAGUAUGUUACAGGCCAGUUUCAGGUCACAGAAUGGUUGAGGUUGGCAGGAACCUCUGGAGAUGCUCUAUUCCAGUCCCACUGCUCAGAGCAGGGUUGACUGAAGGAGGCUGCUGAGGUCCUUGUCUCAUUGGCUUUGAAAGGAUGGAGACUCCACAACCUCUCUGAUGAACAUGUUCUUCAACCACCCUCACAGUAAGAACGUUUUAAUGUUUGUACAGACUGUCUUGUAUGUCAGGUUGUACCCAUUGCUUCUCCUCCUGACACUGUAAUGCUGAAGUUUGCUUUGUCUUCCUUGCAGCUCCCUCAGGUGUUAAUACACUUCAGUACAUAUUCCCCCUGAACCUAUUAUUUUUUCAUGGAGUGCCUUAUUUUCUGUGCUCAGUGUUGUGUUGCAAUUCUCACCCUUCUGUUUGCUGAUACAAGCAACAAAAGCAUAGGAACAUUGUCUUUCUUGGGUUUGUGAAGGCCGUGAAAAGCUGACUCGCUAGCCACUCAACUGCUAUUUUUCAGUAUCCUUAAUCUGAAAUAGAACAGCAAACUUGAUUCUGAGACUUGAACUGUUUAGAGAAACACAGGAGCAUGAUGUAAGUAGAUGACCCAGCAGUCUCCAUCUGCACUAUGAAAGUAAUUUUUACAGCUAGCAUAACUAAUUACCAACUGCACAAGAUUAAAUAGAAUUUGAAGAACAUUAUUAUAUACUAAUAAAAAAAUUUAUCAGGUA